Molecule: long non-coding RNA, 2113 nt
Organism: Oryzias melastigma (Indian medaka)
Lineage: Eukaryota; Metazoa; Chordata; Actinopteri; Beloniformes; Adrianichthyidae
Exons: 3
Source: RefSeq, a predicted model, not a curated record
UUUAAGUUCUCCUGUUUUCUUUCUCAGUUCUUUUCUCAGCAGAUGUCAGGCAGAUUUUGGCUUUAAAAUGACUUUCACUGUUUUAUUUUGGUGAUGUUACAUUUAUUUUCAAGGAAGUAUUUUCAUUUUAUUUUUUAUAGUGCCGUUCUUAUUUUUAUUUUUAUCUAACAUGAAAGAGAUAUAAUAUUGUGUUUCCAUUACUACCAAACUAGAUUCUAAAUUUGGCAAAAGCUUAGAAAGAAUCUGUAAUUUUCAAUGUCAGGUAAUCAGUUUGACAGACAGGUGAGGUGACAGACCGUGCACCGCCCGAUAAUAAGGCAGAAGCACCACAUCUGUCUGAAAAUCACUUCAAAGUUCAGUUGACAGUGUUUUAAAUGUUCUAACACGGUCACGUUUAAUCUCAGGAAGUACUAUGAUCAUACUGAUGAUCAUACUAAUGAUGAUCAUACUGAUGAUCAUACUAAUGAUCAUACAUGGUAGUGUUUUGUGAAAACUGAUUGGUGUUUUUAGGAAGGCAAACUUCGCUUUUUUGGAUGUCAUUGUGUAUAUACAAUGACACACUAACAUACAGUGUAAGACAAUUAGACAACAGCAGAAAUAGUACGCUGAGAUUUGCAAAGUUAGUGAUGAAUUCAGUUAGCCAAAACCAAAAAUAAAAGAUUGGUCUUAUUUUAAAACAGGAAUACAGCACACAGCUCCCUGCUGAAUCCAUUCAGAUUGUCGAAGAUGGUAUGGUUAGCUUGAUGUGAUAAAAAAAAAUGUGGCAAAUAAAUGUAUUUUUUCCAUUAGCAGGAUGAACAAGAAAGAAAUGCCAGAAAAGAAAACGUUACGGAUUCCAACCCAGAAAAUGAAGGUCUGAGAGAACACCCCUCAACGGAAUGAGCAAUCUAAUCCAGACCAGGUCUGAGAGCUUCAGACUCUUUGAAACCUCAGUGGAGAGAGACUUCACCAUAUCCCAUCUUCACCAUCAGGCCAGCAGGAGCUCUUCCCUGGGUGUGGUGUGUUCGAGUCAUCGUUCUGCCUUGCUGCCAUGAACCACACAUCUAAACCACAUCGCAUGCAUCAGUUUCAUGCACUGUCCAAUCAUGUCGUCACUGUUGGAGUAUCAAAAUCCCUUUUGGUGUUCCUGGAAAUGAUCCCUCCGGAAAAGAAGGAAAGCGGAUCUGUCAACGCAAUCCUAACUUGUGUCCUGAGAUGUGCCACUCCACCUGGUUGGGAAAAAUUGUGGAGGUCAAGCUCAAGAAAGCGUUUGUCAGCAAAUGUACGGCCAGAGCAGGUUCUAAGCAGUAGGCCACUGCUAUGAUCUACAGUAUGUGGACUGGUUACUCUUUCAUCCUUUAUUUAUUUUUUGUUUUUAAUUUUCGUGGACCAUGAGUUUUAAUACAGUUCCUGCCAAGUGUGUUCUAGGAUUUGGAAGCAUGUAAGUUCUGUCGUUUCAAAGCCAAGUGAGAUUCUUCCUUGUACCUCAGCAGUGCUGUCAGUGUGUUUGUUGUUUAGAAUCUAGAAGUAUUCAUUAUCACCACGUCGGCCACAUUGAAUACGCCACAGUUCAUGUACUUAAUGCAAUUACAUGAAAAAAGUUUGAAAAAUUUGGAUCUCCGGGUAUAAUAUGACACAAUUUUGUGAAUGUAUUUCUGGUUUUACCCAAAAUAGUUCAUUAAGAAGCCUGGUGGUCUUAACUCUUGUGCUAUCCUGGAUAUGUUUACAUUAAAAGUGGGGUCAUCUGGACCCCACAAGACAGCGCGCUGAAGUUUUUUUUCCAAGGAUUUUUAAUCUUGUCAGUUGUCCGUGGCUGACAUAAGAUCCUGUCCACAUUUGUUAUGGGAGAGAUCACACAUCAAUGUAAUGGUAGGGUCAUCUUGACCCCAUAAGAGAGCACAAGGGUUAAAGUACCUUUAAAUUAUUAAAAAAAAUAGUUUUGUUAAAACCGACUUUUCAACAAGGGGGUUAGUAAACAAUGUCAGAGCUUGUAUUUAAUUUAUUGUUGUAUCUCAUUUAUGUUUUAUAUUUCUGUAUUUUGUUUAAAAAAUGUAAAGAGUCUAAUGCUAUUAUCCCAAUACAAAUGUUGUACUGAUGGUGCUGGUCAAAUCCCAAAUAAAAUGUAACAUUUACA